This 236-nucleotide ribosomal RNA is filed under the name uncultured bacterium. RNAcentral describes it as "partial 16S ribosomal RNA". It matches the Rfam family "Bacterial small subunit ribosomal RNA", at positions 118 to 347 of the family's 1533-position model. The record is from RNAcentral.
UGGGUAACCCACCCCGAUGACCGGGACAACCCGAGGAAACUCGGGCUAAUACCGGAUGUGCUCCCUGGCCUUGAGGCCAGGGCGUAAAGAUAGCUUCGGCCUUCGCAUCGGGACGGCCCGCGGCCCAUUAGCUUGUUGGGGGGUAACGCCUACCAUGGCGACGAUGGGUAGCUGGUCUGAGAGGACGAUCAGCCACACUGGGACUGAGACACGGCCCAGACUCCGUACGGGAGCAG